CCUACGGGAGGCAGCAGUGGGGAAUUUUGGACAAUGGGCGCAAGCCUGAUCCAGCAAUGCCGCGUGCAGGAUGAAGGCCUUCGGGUUGUAAACUGCUUUUGUACGGAACGAAACGGCGAGCUCUAAUAAAGUUCGCUAAUGACGGUACCGUAAGAAUAAGCACCGGCUAACUACGUGCCAGCAGCCGCGGUAAUACGUAGGGUGCAAGCGUUAAUCGGAAUUACUGGGCGUAAAGCGUGCGCAGGCGGUGAUGUAAGACAGAUGUGAAAUCCCCGGGCUCAACCUGGGACCUGCAUUUGUGACUGCAUCGCUAGAGUACGGUAGAGGGGGAUGGAAUUCCGCGUGUAGCAGUGAAAUGCGUAGAUAUGCGGAGGAACACCGAUGGCGAAGGCAAUCCCCUGGACCUGUACUGACGCUCAUGCACGAAAGCGUGGGGAGCAAACAGGAUUAGAUACCCUGGUAGUCCACGCCCUAAACGAUGUCAACUGGUUGUUGGGUCUUCACUGACUCAGUAACGAAGCUAACGCGUGAAGUUGACCGCCUGGGGAGUGCGGCCGCAAGGUUGAAACUUAAAUGAAUUGACGGCUGAGACGNGCGAGGAGACACGAGGGAGAGG
Molecule: ribosomal RNA, 616 nt
Filed under: uncultured bacterium
Lineage: Bacteria
Description: bacterial SSU rRNA
Rfam family: Bacterial small subunit ribosomal RNA
Source: RNAcentral